RNAcentral lists this ribosomal RNA (465 nucleotides) under uncultured bacterium. RNAcentral's name for it is "partial 16S ribosomal RNA". It matches the Rfam family "Bacterial small subunit ribosomal RNA", at positions 338 to 795 of the family's 1533-position model. The record is from RNAcentral.
CCUACGGGUGGCUGCAGUGGGGAAUAUUGCGCAAUGGGCGAAAGCCUGACGCAGCGACGCCGCGUGAGGGAUGAAGGUCUUCGGAUCGUAAACCUCUGUCAGCAGGGAAGAACGGUCACUGUGCUAAUCAGCAGUGACUUGACGGUACCUGCAAAGGAAGCACCGGCUAACUCCGUACCAGCAGCCGCUGUAAUACGGAGGGUGCGAGCGUUAAUCGGAAUUACUGGGCGUAAAGCGCUCGUAGGCGGUAUGUCAAGUCAAGGGUGAAAUCCCCGCGCUCAACGUGGGAACUGCCUUUGAAACUGGCAAACUGGAGUGUGUGAGAGGAUAGUGGAAUUCCAGGUGUAGGAGUGAAAUCCGUAGAUAUCUGGAGGAACAUCAGUGGCGAAGGCGACUAUCUGGCACAUAACUGACGCUGAGGAGCGAAAGCGUGGGUAGCAAACAGGAUUAGAUACCCUGGUAGUC